Molecule: unclassified non-coding RNA, 1377 nt
Filed under: Hevea brasiliensis (rubber tree)
Lineage: Eukaryota; Viridiplantae; Streptophyta; Magnoliopsida; Malpighiales; Euphorbiaceae
Source: RNAcentral
AAGAAAGCAACCUUUGCAUCCACGGAAAUAGAAGCUUUAGGGUACUCUCCAGAUGAAGCCAUUCUUCAAAAGUUCUGGAAGCUUUGUGAACGCCAACUACAUAUUUCAGAUGAGGCUGAAGAAGAAGAUUCUAAUAGGGAAUACAUUGAGGAGACAAAUCGAGAUGCUGUAAUCAUUGCUGUUGGGAAGUUGGUUGCUGUUGAUGCAGUUCCUAAGGAAUAUCUUGCUCCAGAGAUACUAUCUCAUCUUUCAAUGCAUGGGACAAGUGUAUCUGAGGUUAUUAAGCAUUUGCUAACCGUGUUAAGGAAUAAUGGUGCAGAUGUUGCAUGGUUGUUCAUAGAGGCACUAAAAAGGGCCCAUGAACGGUACUUAGUAGCACUUUUCUCUGAUGAUGACGAAUCAGCGAGAAAGACUUUUCAUGAAUGUGAAGAUCUCGCCAGUGGGCUUGCCAAGACAUUUGGAAAUGCUGCUAGAAACAAGCACCGGUCAGAUCUUCUAAAUAUUGUCACAGGAGGCAUUCAAUAUGCCUUUACUGAUGCUCCAAAGCAUUUAUCUUUCUUGGAUGGUGCUGUGCUGCAUUUCAUAUCUAAACUUCCUCCUUCAGAUAUUAUGAACAUCUUGAAAGACGUCGAGAAAAGAACUGAAAAUGUUAACACGGAUGAAGAUCCAAGCGGUUGGCGACCCUACCAUAUAUUUGUAGAUACAGUCCAUGAGAAGUAUGCUAAGGGUGAUGUCUUACAAGAUGAUAAGGAAGGAGCUGGGAGACGUCGAGGUCGUCCUACCAAGAAGCAGAACAUACAAGGAAAGAAACUUUUUGACGAGCACAAUUCUAGUGAAGACGAGGAAUCAAUCAGUGGAUCUGACCAAGAGGCAGAUGAAGAAAAACAAGAUGAUGAAGAGGUUCCUCUAAUACAUUCUUUCAAGUCAUCAUCCAAGCUAAGGUCUCUGAAGAUAUCAAGAGAGAGCUGAAGCUAUGUGAGAACUGGUCAUUUUGGUCUCUGUUUAGAGUUUUCCUGUUCCAAAGCAUCAGGUUCUCAAGUCUUAAAAAUCUGCUCUCUAUAUCACGAGCAAACAGGUUCCUCAAGAACCAUAGUUUGAGAGGAAAACUUUGUUGAAGUAGACCUUAGGUGCAGCCUUGUGUAUUUAAAAUAGGUCUCGUCUCCAGUCUUUUUUUUUUUUUUCCUUUCCAAACUAGCUGUAUUUGUGAUUUCUUUUUGGCAGCUUCAACCCAUUUAUGGAUUUGGUAAGCUAUUACUUGUCGUGAUUAUCUUGUGAUUGUGUAACCUUUGGGCUCCUAAUGGCUAGUAAGUUCUGAAUUGCCAAAAUGGAAGUACUAGGAAGAGAUAUACUGAAGAUGGAGACAAAAUUCAAGUAGGA